RNAcentral lists this ribosomal RNA (253 nucleotides) under uncultured bacterium. RNAcentral's name for it is "partial 16S ribosomal RNA". It matches the Rfam family "Bacterial small subunit ribosomal RNA", at positions 524 to 776 of the family's 1533-position model. The record is from RNAcentral.
UACGUAGGGUCCGAGCGUUGUCCGGAAUUACUGGGCGUAAAGAGCUCGUAGGUGGUUUGUCGCGUUGUCCGUGAAAACUCACAGCUCAACUGUGGGCGUGCGGGCGAUACGGGCAGACUGGAGUACUGCAGGGGAGACUGGAAUUCCUGGUGUAGCGGUGGAAUGCGCAGAUAUCAGGAGGAACACCGGUGGCGAAGGCGGGUCUCUGGGCAGUAACUGACACUGAGGAGCGAAAGCGUGGGGAGCGAACAGG